This is a long non-coding RNA of Homo sapiens (human), 1705 nucleotides long. Ensembl annotates it as MIR7515 host gene. The record is from Ensembl. NCBI's taxonomy places the organism in Eukaryota, Metazoa, Chordata, Mammalia, Primates, Hominidae.
AGGCCGGUCCACGCUGGGUGACCCAUGUGACCUGCUGCUUAGCAAUUCCUUGUCACCAUCUUCCCUUCUCAGCCUCUUUUUUCAUGCUAACAGGCAUAAAUGAAAUGAUAAAAGUUUGAGCUCUUCUCGUGGAAUUCUCGUGAUACAGAUAUGUGCUACAUGUUCAUCAUCUCGUUGGUCUUCACCAUGAUAACUGUGGAGUAAGAAUUAUAAGCAGGUCACAGAUUAGGGACUUGAGAUUGACAGUUUGGCUUCCCUGUUCUGGGUGGCAAAGCCUGUGGAGUACUCACCUACCUGCUGCAUGAAGGCAGCAUGGAGGGACUGUGGUGGAUUAUCUGCAAAGAUGGCCAAAAUUCUCUCAUCCCUGCAGGCACAUACAAGGUUGUUGCAUGGCAUAAGUAAAGUGACAGUUAUAGGAUACAUGCAACUUUUCAGUGACAAAGAUCUGUGCAGCAUCGACAGUACUGCCUAAUGAGGUUUCACCAUAAUGAAGUAUCACAACCAGUUUACAGACCAGAAAACUGAGACACAGGAAGGGGUGGUGACUUGAGCAAGGUGCAUCAGCUGCCAGGUUUCCAGAAGUUCCCCAGUCAUUGAGCAUUUCUGAGGCUCUUGAUGCAUAUGCCAAGUAGUUAUGGAGAAAGACACAGCAGCUUACCUCUGCAGGCAUCAUUGUGUGAAAGGAAGACCCAGGCUCUCUCACCACCCUUGAACAGAAGCCUUUUGCUAAGGUGAUAGCUACAUGUCCAAGCCUAUUGCGUGGCAUGCAUUUUGCCUUCUGCAGCCCACUAAAGGAAAUUGAAGUAUACAGAAUGCUUAUUUGGUCUACUCAGUAUCAUCCUAAAUGUAUGUACCAAUGCUUAGGAGUUUGCAGUUCACCCGCAAACCUCAGCGAUCCAAGCUCCCCUGGAUGACCAUCACUCACCAAGAAAAGAGCAAUAACAGGACCUGUUUUGCUAAUCCAGGACUGUUCUCCAGCACUAACUCUAAAUAAUCCCUUCUGCUAGAGUCCACUUUCUGGAACCUGUUGCCUCCGUUUUCAACGUUUCCCAAACUUGGUCCGUUGUGUGAGCUGGCUGAUAAAAGUUCCAGGGAGAAGACAUCUUACUCUUAUUGGAUCAUGCACAGUGCCUGAAGCAUUCUGUUGCAUGUAGAAGUCAGUAAAUUGCAGAUGUAAGAUUCAAAACCAGACUUCACAUCUACCGACUUCAGUGACCCUGAAAUUUGUUCACAGAGAGCAUUUAACAUAACUGUCUUCAUCAUCUCCUUCUCUACAUUAAAAAUUAUGGUUCACAAAGACGUUAUUGGUGAUUCAAUCUUGAGUCAUGAAAAGUCAACCUUGAGCCACAAAAAGUCAACCUUGAGCCAAGCAGAUUGGAGAGUCAUACAUGCCAUUCCUGGGACCAUCAAAAAUGGCAGAGGUCACACAAAAAGGCAAAACUUUUAAGAGGUGUUUUAAACGUCGUAUGGGCCAAAGAGAAGCUGGAUUUCCUAUUGGAGUCACCUGUAACACACGUGUGACGAAAUUGGCCUGUGAGGACAAGGCAGUGAGCAGAGAGGACAGCAGUCCUUAUGAGAUCAAGCUCUAAGGUGAGGUUGCAGGAUCUGAAGGCCAGCUCCCCUGCUUGCUCACUGUAUGACUUUAGGCAAGUCAUUUUACUUCUGAAUGAUUCAUAUUGGAAGUAAAAUAUAUGAUUGGUUAAAA